AACAUUUUAUUUAAUAUUGUAUGGAGACUGUACAGUUUGCUCGAUGUUUUCAAAAUAACCAGAUGAAUAAGUAAUUACGCACAACACUAACGCAUGCUUGGUUCCAGUCAAUGUUAUCCUUGUAAACGGCUGCAAUGGUUUUAACAAAAACGACACUAAACAUUGUUCUUAAAUAUUUAUAUCGGUAAUGUUUUUUCAUCCUCGUGCUGUCGACAUUUUUUUCCAUGCAUCUUUUCCCCCUUUAUUGUCUUUUGCACCUUCGUUUCCAUGCAAUUCCUCGUACUGAAUGUGUGGCAGAUACGGUGCCAAAUAAACCAAUUUUGAAGUGGUGAAGUUGUCUUACUCUUACCGGCUACAAAACCAUUUCAAAUUAACAAUUUCUUAUAUGUAUCGUCCUCGCGGAUGCACGAGAAGCUUGUCAAUAUUACUUUUACGGUCUAAUCCUUUUUGAGAUAUAGAAACCACUGUUGCUCUUUAAGCUCCUGAUCUAGAUACAUUUUUAAUCAUUCUGAUUCAUCCCCAUCGAUUCUAACGAAGCCAGCAGCAUUUUACUUUAUAUAAAAAGAAAGUACGACUUUAUAAAAUGUAAUGUGAUGCGGUCCGACUGUCCCUGAGCCGCUGCAGUGUAUUAAUAGCUUGUAGUGCAAGCCGCCCUGCCUACAUAUACUCACGCCGGACGACACCGACCACCGUCCCUCCUCCCCCCAACAGCUAUCCUCCUCCACCUCCACCUCCUCCACCACCACGGUCUUUUCCUCUUGCCUUAACUUUGGUUCUGAAGGAACAUUACGUUAUUUUCAGUACGUAGUCUACGGAAGAUGUUCAGUAAUAACUGUGGGUGGUUCGGUUUAAUCUUUCGCCUGUCCGGCUUAAUGAAGUACAGGAAACUUCGGGAAGCCACUGUAUUGAAUAUGAAUUGCUGAGUGUGGGAGAUCGCUUUGGUCCUGGAGUGUUUCGCAGCGUCGUUGACUUCGGAUGACAAAUAAGAAACGGCUUAGAGUAUGGUCUCUAAUCGCCUGUACACUACAAGUGGGUUACUAAGUAUGGAGCCAGAACACUGUACGCAGUGCUGCGACCUCCGCCCACGUAACCCAUGUGCAUUGUGGACUUCGAUUAAAUACAUCAGAGGUUUAUGGCUUAGCUGUUAAACAGUGAACCUGGUUCAUCAGGAUGAAUCCUAAAGGAAAGAGCGGCAGUGAUGCAACCAUUUUCACCUGGGAGAGUUUUCCAUUCACGCUGGGACUGGACUAAUUAACCUGUCUGCAUGAUCCCACAGGAGAAAACUGGACCCAUGCUAAGGCUACUCUUCGAAUAAUAUAAAGACACGACCUGCAUUGUGGUCAAAUCAGCGAAUCCUGUCCCGCAUGAGGAAAGGAGAGAGAUGAGUCGUUGAAGUGUUGCUGAGAAACACGGACGAGAUCGACGAUUACACAGUUGGAAAUAUUUUGAUCUGUGGAAGCUGUAUCCUGCCACCGUCUUUAUCUCUUGGCAAAAUACACUGUGCACCAGUCUUUGAAAUAUAUUGGAUGAUUAAGUUAA
Molecule: long non-coding RNA, 1539 nt
Organism: Penaeus monodon (black tiger shrimp)
Lineage: Eukaryota; Metazoa; Arthropoda; Malacostraca; Decapoda; Penaeidae
Exons: 8
Source: RefSeq, a predicted model, not a curated record